GUUGUAUGGUUAAGUGACUAAGCGUACACGGUGGAUGCCUUGGCAGUCAGAGGCGAUGAAAGACGUAGUAACUUGCGAUAAGCCCAGAUUAGGUAGUAACAACCAUUUGAGUCUGGGAUUUCUGAAUGGGGAAACCCACUUACAUAAGUAAGUAUCAUUAACUGAAUACAUAGGUUAAUGAGGCGAACCGGGGGAACUGAAACAUCUAAGUACCCCGAGGAAAAGAAAUCAACCGAGAUUCCGAAAGUAGCGGCGAGCGAAAUUGGACUAGCCCUUAAGCUUUACACGCGUUAGACGAACGGUCUGGAAAGUCCGACGAUACAGGGUGAUAGUCCCGUAGUUGACGACGUGUGUUCAGUGAAAUCGAGUAGGGCGGGACACGUGAUAUCCUGUCUGAAUAUGGGGGGACCAUCCUCCAAGGCUAAAUACUACUGACUGACCGAUAGUGAACCAGUACCGUGAGGGAAAGGCGAAAAGAACCCCUGUGAGGGGAGUGAAAUAGAACCUGAAACCGUGUACGUACAAGCAGUAGGAGCAGGCUUGUCCUGUGACUGCGUACCUUUUGUAUAAUGGGUCAGCGACUUAUAUUCAGUGGCAAGGUUAACCAUCUAGGGGAGCCGUAGGGAAACCGAGUCUUAACUGGGCGUUCAGUCUCUGGAUAUAGACCCGAAACCAGGUGAUCUAGCCAUGGGCAGGUUGAAGGUUGAGUAACAUCAACUGGAGGACCGAACCGACUAAUGUUGAAAAAUUAGCGGAUGACUUGUGGCUAGGGGUGAAAGGCCAAUCAAACCUGGAGAUAGCUGGUUCUCCCCGAAAGCUAUUUAGGUAGCGCCUCGGACGAAUACUACUGGGGGUAGAGCACUGUUAAGGCUAGGGGGUCAUCCCGACUUACCAACCCUUUGCAAACUCCGAAUACCAGUAAGUACUAUCCGGGAGACACACGGCGGGUGCUAACGUCCGUCGUGGAGAGGGAAACAACCCAGACCGCCAGCUAAGGUCCCAAAUUACUACUAAGUGGGAAACGAUGUGGGAAGGCUCAGACAGCCAGGAUGUUGGCUUAGAAGCAGCCAUCAUUUAAAGAAAGCGUAAUAGCUCACUGGUCGAGUCGGCCUGCGCGGAAGAUGUAACGGGGCUAAGUAGUAAACCGAAGCUGCGGCAAUGUGCUUUUGCACAUUGGGUAGGGGAGCGUUCUGUAAGCGGUUGAAGGUGUGUGGUAACGCAUGCUGGACGUAUCAGAAGUGCGAAUGCUGACAUGAGUAACGAUAAAGGGGGUGAAAAACCUCCUCGCCGGAAGACCAAGGGUUCCUGUCCAACGUUAAUCGGGGCAGGGUAAGUCGACCCCUAAGGCGAGGCCGAAAGGCGUAGUCGAUGGGAAACGGGUUAAUAUUCCCGUACUUCUUACAAUUGCGAUGGGGGGACGGAGAAGGCUAGGUGGGCCUGGCGACGGUUGUCCAGGUUCAAGUGCGUAGGCUUAAGAGUUAGGUAAAUCCGGCUCUUUUUAAGGCUGAGACACGACGUCGAGCUACUACGGUAGUGAAGUCAUUGAUGCCAUGCUUCCAGGAAAAGCCUCUAAGCUUCAGAUUGUAAGGAAUCGUACCCCAAACCGACACAGGUGGUCGGGUAGAGAAUACCAAGGCGCUUGAGAGAACUCGGGUGAAGGAACUAGGCAAAAUGGUACCGUAACUUCGGGAGAAGGUACGCUCUUGAUGGUGAAGUCCCUCGCGGAUGGAGCUGACGAGAGUCGCAGAUACCAGGUGGCUGCAACUGUUUAUUAAAAACACAGCACUGUGCAAAAUCGUAAGAUGACGUAUACGGUGUGACGCCUGCCCGGUGCCGGAAGGUUAAUUGAUGGGGUUAGACUUCGGUCGAAGCUCUUGAUCGAAGCCCCGGUAAACGGCGGCCGUAACUAUAACGGUCCUAAGGUAGCGAAAUUCCUUGUCGGGUAAGUUCCGACCUGCACGAAUGGCGUAAUGAUGGCCACGCUGUCUCCACCCGAGACUCAGUGAAAUUGAAAUCGCUGUGAAGAUGCAGUGUACCCGCGGCUAGACGGAAAGACCCCGUGAACCUUUACUACAGCUUGGCACUGAACAUUGACCCUACAUGUGUAGGAUAGGUGGGAGGCUUUGAAGCAGGUACGCCAGUAUCUGUGGAGCCGUCCUUGAAAUACCACCCUUGUAGUGUUGAUGUUCUAACGUCGACCCCUAAUCGGGGUUGCGGACAGUGCCUGGUGGGUAGUUUGACUGGGGCGGUCUCCUCCCAAAGAGUAACGGAGGAGCACGAAGGUGGGCUAAUCACGGUUGGACAUCGUGAGGUUAGUGCAAUGGCAUAAGCCCGCUUGACUGCGAGAAUGACAAUUCGAGCAGGUGCGAAAGCAGGUCAUAGUGAUCCGGUGGUUCUGAAUGGAAGGGCCAUCGCUCAACGGAUAAAAGGUACUCCGGGGAUAACAGGCUGAUACCGCCCAAGAGUUCAUAUCGACGGCGGUGUUUGGCACCUCGAUGUCGGCUCAUCACAUCCUGGGGCUGAAGUCGGUCCCAAGGGUAUGGCUGUUCGCCAUUUAAAGUGGUACGCGAGCUGGGUUUAGAACGUCGUGAGACAGUUCGGUCCCUAUCUGCCGUGGGCGUUGGAAGAUUGAAGGGGGCUGCUCCUAGUACGAGAGGACCGGAGUGGACGAACCUCUGGUGUUCGGGUUGUGUCGCCAGACGCAUUGCCCGGUAGCUAAGUUCGGAAUCGAUAACCGCUGAAAGCAUCUAAGCGGGAAGCGAGCCCUGAGAUGAGUCUUCCCUGAUACUUUAAGUAUCCUAAAGGGUUGUCGGAGACUACGACGUUGAUAGGUCAGGUGUGUAAGUGCUGUGAGGCAUUGAGCUAACUGAUACUAAUUGCCCGUGAGGCUUAACCAUACAACACCCAAGGGGUUU
This 2915-nucleotide ribosomal RNA is filed under the name Vibrio parahaemolyticus. Its description in RNAcentral is "23S ribosomal RNA". It matches the Rfam family "Bacterial large subunit ribosomal RNA". Lineage: Bacteria; Pseudomonadati; Pseudomonadota; Gammaproteobacteria; Vibrionales; Vibrionaceae. The record is from RNAcentral.